RNAcentral lists this ribosomal RNA (468 nucleotides) under uncultured bacterium. RNAcentral's name for it is "partial 16S ribosomal RNA". It matches the Rfam family "Bacterial small subunit ribosomal RNA", at positions 28 to 507 of the family's 1533-position model. The record is from RNAcentral.
GACGAACGCUGGCGGCGUGCUUAACACAUGCAAGUCGAACGGAAAGGCCCUGCUUUUGUUGGGUGCUCGAGUGGCGAACGGGUGAGUAACACGUGAGUAACCUGCCCUUGACUUUGGGAUAACUUCAGGAAACUGGGGCUAAUACCGGAUAGGAGCUCCUGCUGCAUGGUGGGGGUUGGAAAGUUUCGGCGGUUGGGGAUGGACUCGCGGCUUAUCAGCUUGUUGGUGGGGUAGUGGCUUACCAAGGCUUUGACGGGUAGCCGGCCUGAGAGGGUGAACGGCCACAUUGGGACUGAGAUACGGCCCAGACUCCUACGGGAGGCAGCAGUGGGGAAUAUUGCACAAUGGGCGGGAGCCUGAUGCAGCAACGCCGCGUGCGGGAUGACGGGCUUCGGGUUGUAAACCGCUUUCGCCUGUGACGAAGAGUGAGUGACGGUAAUGGGUAAAGAAGCACCGGCUAACUACGUG